Molecule: microRNA precursor, 186 nt
Filed under: Oryza brachyantha (malo sina)
Lineage: Eukaryota; Viridiplantae; Streptophyta; Magnoliopsida; Poales; Poaceae
Description: MIR812 microRNA precursor family
Rfam family: MIR812 microRNA precursor family
Source: Rfam by way of RNAcentral
AAUAAACCAAUUUUUCACUUUUUACCUAUAAUUUUUGACUCUUCGUCUUAUUAAAAAAAUUUUGUGAUUGUUAUUUUUGUUUUUAUUAGAUGAUAAAUCAUAAAUAGUACUCUACAUGUGACUAAUUUUUUUUCUAAUUUUCUAAAAAUCUUUCAAAUAAAACGGAUGGUCAAAGUUGGACAUUGA